UAAAACUAAUAAAUGUGUAAUGUUAAAAGGACCGAAGGUCUUGUCUCUUAACAAGUUCUCUUGUUUUCUUGUCUAUUGACAAGCAUUUACGCUUUUGUUUCUUUCAUUUUUACCUUAGUCUUUCUUCAUUUGCUCUUUGUCUUGCAUUCCCCUUAUUCCCUAUAGAUUCUCUGAAUAAUCAAUAUGCUCGAAUCUCGUUAGCUGUGGAGGAAGAAGAUGGUUUGGAAGUGGAUAAAAUGGAG
Molecule: long non-coding RNA, 242 nt
Filed under: Ricinus communis (castor bean)
Lineage: Eukaryota; Viridiplantae; Streptophyta; Magnoliopsida; Malpighiales; Euphorbiaceae
Description: long non-coding RNA (RCOM_LNC002616)
Source: RNAcentral